This 303-nucleotide ribosomal RNA is filed under the name uncultured bacterium. RNAcentral's name for it is "bacterial SSU rRNA". It matches the Rfam family "Bacterial small subunit ribosomal RNA", at positions 29 to 332 of the family's 1533-position model. The record is from RNAcentral.
AUGAACGCUGGCGGCAUGCCUUACACAUGCAAGUCGAACGGCAGCGCGGGAGCAAUCCUGGCGGCGAGUGGCGAACGGGUGAGUAAUAUAUCGGAACGUGCCCUGGAGUGGGGGAUAACUAGUCGAAAGAUUAGCUAAUACCGCAUACGAUCUACGGAUGAAAGUGGGGGAUCUGCAAGGACCUCAUGCUCGUGGAGCGGCCGAUAUCUGAUUAGUUAGUUGGUGGGGUAAAGGCCUACCAAGGCGACGAUCAUUAGCUGGUUUGAGAGAACGAACAGCCACACUGGUCACUGAGACACGGCC